AGGAAGUGCGGGGUAAGAGGAGGGGGAGGGCGCGGAGCCCUGCCGGCGGCCGGAGGACCGGCGGGCGCUGACUGCGACCACCGCUCUCGGGCAGCGGACGCGCUGCUUUGGAAGAUGAGUGGAAAACUACAAUAAAAAAAACAUAGCCAUGAAAAUAAGUGAGAUUAAAACCUGCCGGCUUCACUUCCUGGAGGCUUUUUGUUGGGUCUUGAAACUAGGAGUCUUUGCGGGUCAUCCUUUUUUAUUUUUUUCAGCCCACUUACCUCGGGAGAGCAGGUUUUCUCCAUCCGAAGACUCCCUGACCCCAGCACCUCCGGCCCCGGGUGGGGCUCUGGUUGCAGCCUCCAGGCCACGCCCGGAUAGGACCGGGCCUGCGACACCAGCCAGGCUCCAGCCACCCUGCUAGGACACCUGGGCCUGGGAAGGGACCGGAACUCCCCUCCACCACCAGGCAGGGCUGGGGGGAAGCGACCCCCUGUCCCCGUGGAAGGCCGGCUCCCAGCAGCCCCCUGCUGCCAGCUGCACCCCCGUCAAACGUGCGCCCACCUUCAAGAAGGGAACAUGUGGGCUCCUAGACACUCGUCGGGGCAGCCCUGGGUCUGUUCUGUUGAUCGCUGGGUCUCCAGUGCCAAGCAGGGUGCCUGGCUCCUUUGCAAGUGAAUGAACGGACCCUGAAGGAGAAGCUGCCUCCUGAUCAGUCAAGGAGCUGGAUUUCUCAGCUUUCCAUUCUUAGGCGGUGUUGUCGUCAACCUGUGGAGAGAAACCGGAUUUAUCUGGGGGGUAAGGAAAUUCAUUCUCCCUGACUUUAUAUAUUUUCCAACCCACAGUGUCGGAUCGGCUAAGUCUUAGUGGUCUUUAGUUUCUUUAUGUGAUGUAUACCACUUGUCACUGUUUAAUGUAAUCUUAUGUCAUUUAAAGGUUAAAUUAUAGGGUAUAGAAAGCGACAAUAAUAUAAUCUUAGGCACAAUCAUUUAGAGGAAGAUUUCCCCCUAAAACUCGGUUAAAAUAAAUUGGAGAAAGACGCAGUUCAAUUCAUUCAACAAAUUUGACUUUGUGACAGAUCCAACGUAGUCUGUUGUAUUUAAUAAGAAUUCAGCCCAUAAAGGGAGAUUUAAUGACAUUAAUGAAAUUAGCUUUAUGUAUUAAUGGAACUGAAGGAGUCAACUCUAAAAGCAAAUGUUCUCUAAACCUAAAUAUUUUACACUCAAGAAAAUCUGCUGGGGACUUCCCUGGUGGCGCAGUGGUUAAGAAUCCGCCUGCUAAUGCAGGGGACGGGGCUUUGAUCCCUGGUUUUGGAAGAUCCCACGUG
Non-coding RNA from Delphinapterus leucas (beluga whale), 1309 nucleotides. The record is from RefSeq and is a predicted model, not a curated record. Lineage: Eukaryota; Metazoa; Chordata; Mammalia; Artiodactyla; Monodontidae.